RNAcentral lists this non-coding RNA (23 nucleotides) under Arabidopsis thaliana (thale cress). Lineage: Eukaryota; Viridiplantae; Streptophyta; Magnoliopsida; Brassicales; Brassicaceae. The record is from RNAcentral.
CGUGAUUAGAUGUUGUAUUUGGU